AUGUAAUCACAGAACCGGUUUUCAUUUUCGAUCUGACUUAUUUUUUCAACAACGAGUGAGAUCACUUUGAAAGCUGAUUUUGUACAACUAAUUCAA
Molecule: microRNA precursor, 96 nt
Filed under: Anopheles sinensis
Lineage: Eukaryota; Metazoa; Arthropoda; Insecta; Diptera; Culicidae
Description: microRNA bantam
Rfam family: bantam microRNA precursor family (bases 1-86)
Source: RNAcentral